Molecule: ribosomal RNA, 735 nt
Filed under: Sphingobacteriaceae bacterium MJ_9_11
Lineage: Bacteria; Pseudomonadati; Bacteroidota; Sphingobacteriia; Sphingobacteriales; Sphingobacteriaceae
Description: bacterial SSU rRNA
Rfam family: Bacterial small subunit ribosomal RNA
Source: RNAcentral
CGAGGGGUAUGGGUUGCUUUGCAACCCAGAGACCGGCGCACGGGUGCGUAACGCGUAUGCAACCUACCUUGAUCAGGGGGAUAGCCCGGAGAAAUCCGGAUUAACACCGCAUAACAUUGUGAUAUGGCAUCAUAUUAUAAUCAAAUAUUUAUAGGAUCGAGAUGGGCAUGCGUGACAUUAGUUAGUUGGUGAGGUAACGGCUCACCAAGACUUCGAUGUCUAGGGGAUCUGAGAGGAUGACCCCCCACACUGGUACUGAGACACGGACCAGACUCCUACGGGAGGCAGCAGUAAGGAAUAUUGGUCAAUGGGCGCAAGCCUGAACCAGCCAUGCCGCGUGCAGGAAGACGGCCCUACGGGUUGUAAACUGCUUUUGUACCGGAAUAAACCUGCUCUCGUGAGAGCAGCUGAACGUACGGUAAGAAUAAGGAUCGGCUAACUCCGUGCCAGCAGCCGCGGUAAUACGGAGGAUCCAAGCGUUAUCCGGAUUUAUUGGGUUUAAAGGGUGCGUAGGCGGCUUUUUAAGUCAGGGGUGAAAACUUGCGGCUCAACCGUAAGCUUGCCUUUGAUACUGAGGAGCUUGAAUACACUUGAGGUAGGCGGAAUGUGACAAGUAGCGGUGAAAUGCAUAGAUAUGUCACAGAACACCAAUUGCGAAGGCAGCUUACUAAAGUGAGAUUGACGCUGAGGCACGAAAGCGUGGGGAUCAAACAGGAUUAGAUACCCUGGUAGUCC